GACGAACGCUGGCGGCGUGCUUAACACAUGCAAGUCGAACGAAGAGCGAUGGAAGCUUGCUUCUAUCAAUCUUAGUGGCGAACGGGUGAGUAACGCGUAAUCAACCUGCCCUUCAGAGGGGGACAACAGUUGGAAACGACUGCUAAUACCGCAUACGAUCUAAUCUCGGCAUCGAGGAUAGAUGAAAGGUGGCCUCUACAUGUAAGCUAUCACUGAAGGAGGGGAUUGCGUCAGAUUAGCUAGUUGGAGGGGUAACGGCCCACCAAGGCGAUGAUCGGUAGCCGGUCUGAGAGGAGGAACGGCCACAUUGGGACUGAGACACGGCCCAGACGCCUACGGGAGGCAGCAGUGGGGAAUCUUCCGCAAUGGACGAAAGUCUGACGGAGCAACGCCGCGUGAGUGAUGACGGCCUUCGGGUUGUAAAGCUCUGUUAAUCGGGACGAAAGGCCUUCUUGCGAAUAGUGAGAAGGAUUGACGGUACCGGAAUAGAAAGCCACGGCUAACUACGUG
This 510-nucleotide ribosomal RNA is filed under the name uncultured bacterium. RNAcentral's name for it is "partial 16S ribosomal RNA". It matches the Rfam family "Bacterial small subunit ribosomal RNA", at positions 28 to 507 of the family's 1533-position model. The record is from RNAcentral.